This 809-nucleotide ribosomal RNA is filed under the name Flabellodrilus bartolii. Its description in RNAcentral is "Allolobophora bartolii partial large subunit ribosomal RNA". The stretch from base 416 to 809 matches the Rfam family "Eukaryotic large subunit ribosomal RNA", at positions 665 to 1023 of the family's 3401-position model. Lineage: Eukaryota; Metazoa; Annelida; Clitellata; Crassiclitellata; Lumbricidae. The record is from RNAcentral.
GCNANGUGGAGAGGACCGUAUGGUCCGCCCGUCGGAUUCAGUCCGCCUGUGCGGCGCCGGCGUCGGUCGCGCAUCCCUCGUGGGAGCGCGCCGGCGUCCGGUCCGUCGUGCGGCGGCCGUACUUUCGGCGGGCGGAGCGCCACGACCGGUUCGUUGGCGGCGAGAAACUCCCGGGCAAGGUGACCUCCGCCUCGGCGCAGGAGCAUACAGGCCCGGUGAGCGUCGGCCCGUCGGCGGACCGAGGAAGACCGUCGCGGAGCGGCGUCGACCGCCCGUCGUGUGGUUGCGUUCGACUCGGGGGGACUGGUUCCAGUGCCCUCGGACCGCGCGGCCGCAGCGGCGGGACGGCCCGGCGUCGCGCCUGGGGUCGGUGGCGAAACGGCCGGCAACCUGUCCGACCCGUCUUGAAACACGGACCAAGGAGUCUAACAUGUGCGCGAGUCGUUGGGCGCUACGAAACCCGAAGGCGCAAUGAAAGUGAAGGCCCGGUCUCGUGCCGGCCUUGGUGGGAUCCGGGCGGCCCCGGCCGUCCGGCGCACCACCGGCCCGUCUCGUUCGCCGCGUCGAAGAGGCGGAGCAAGAGCGUACACGUUGGGACCCGAAAGAUGGUGAACUAUGCCCGAGUAGGACGAAGCCAGAGGAAACUCUGGUGGAGGUCCGCAGCGAUUCUGACGUGCAAAUCGAUCGUCAAACUUGGGUAUAGGGGCGAAAGACUAAUCGAACCAUCUAGUAGCUGGUUCCUGUCGAAGUUUCCCUCAGGAUAGCUGGCGCUCGUCACGAGCAGUUUUAUCCGGUAAAGCGAAUGACUG